This 501-nucleotide ribosomal RNA is filed under the name uncultured Lachnospiraceae bacterium. RNAcentral's name for it is "bacterial SSU rRNA". It matches the Rfam family "Bacterial small subunit ribosomal RNA", at positions 8 to 507 of the family's 1533-position model. Lineage: Bacteria; Bacillati; Bacillota; Clostridia; Lachnospirales; Lachnospiraceae. The record is from RNAcentral.
AGAGUUUGUAGUCCUCGGCUCAGGAUGAACGCGUCGGCGGGCGUGACCUAACACAAUGCAAGUCGAACGGACUCAUAACUGAAACCUAAGUGAUCUAUGAGUUAGUGGCGGAACGGGUGAGUAACGCGUGGAUAACCUGCCGUAUACCGGGGAGUAACACUUAGAAAUAGGUGCUAAUACCGCAUGAGCGCACAGCUCCGCAUGGAGCGGUGUGAAAAACUCCGGUGGUAUACGAUCGGAUCCGCGUCUGAUUAGCCAGUUGGCGGGGUAACGGCCCACCCAAAGCGACGAUCAGUAGCCGGCCUGAGAGGGUGAACGGCCACAUUGGGACUGAGACACGGCCCAGACUCCUACGGGAGGCAGCAGUGGGGAAUAUUGCACAAUGGGGGAAACCCUGAUGCAGCGACGCCGCGUGAGUGAAGAAGUAUCUCGGUAUGUAAAGCUCUAUCAGCAGGAAAGAUAAUGGCGGUACCUGACUAAGAAGCCCCGGCUAACUACGUG